RNAcentral lists this ribosomal RNA (253 nucleotides) under uncultured bacterium. RNAcentral describes it as "partial 16S ribosomal RNA". It matches the Rfam family "Bacterial small subunit ribosomal RNA", at positions 524 to 776 of the family's 1533-position model. The record is from RNAcentral.
UACAGAGGGUGCAAACGUUGAUCGGAAUCACAGGCCGUAAAGCGCGUGAGGGCGGACAGGAAAGUCGGGUGUGAAAUCCCUGGGCUCAACCCAGGAACUGCCUCCGAAACUACCAGCCUAGAGUGUCGGAGAUGGAAGUGGAAUUCUUGGUGUAGAGGUGAAAUUCGUAGAUAUCAAGAGGAACACCGGUGGCGAAGGCGGCUUACUGGACGAUAACUGACGCUGAGACGCGAAAGCGUGGGGAGCAAACAGG